CAGGACGUGGCUGAGAUAGUUAAGCGGCUCCCUUACACCGAGCAGACACCCAUGCAAGUUGGGUCGCCCUGA
This 72-nucleotide transfer RNA is filed under the name Jenkinsia lamprotaenia (dwarf round herring). Its description in RNAcentral is "tRNA-Val". Lineage: Eukaryota; Metazoa; Chordata; Actinopteri; Clupeiformes; Clupeidae. The record is from RNAcentral.